AUUGAACGCUGGCGGCAUGCCUUACACAUGCAAGUCGAACGGCAGCACGGGAGCAAUCCUGGUGGCGAGUGGCGAACGGGUGAGUAAUAUAUCGGAACGUGCCCAGUCGUGGGGGAUAACGUAGCGAAAGCUACGCUAAUACCGCAUACGAUCUAUGGAUGAAAGCGGGGGAUCGCAAGACCUCGCGCGAUUGGAGCGGCCGAUAUCAGAUUAGGUAGUUGGUGAGGUAAAGGCUCGCCAAGCCGACGAUCUGUAGCUGGUCUGAGAGGACGACCAGCCACACUGGGACUGAGACACGGCCCAGACUCCUACGGGAGGCAGCAGUGGGGAAUUUUGGACAAUGGGCGCAAGCCUGAUCCAGCAAUGCCGCGUGCAGGAUGAAGGCCUUCGGGUUGUAACGUAGUC
This 405-nucleotide ribosomal RNA is filed under the name uncultured bacterium. RNAcentral describes it as "bacterial SSU rRNA". It matches the Rfam family "Bacterial small subunit ribosomal RNA", at positions 30 to 437 of the family's 1533-position model. The record is from RNAcentral.